AUUGAACGCUGGCGGCAGGCCUAACACAUGCAAGUCGAACGGUAACAGAAAGCAGCUUGCUGCUUUGCUGACGAGUGGCGGACGGGUGAGUAAUGUCUGGGAAACUGCCUGAUGGAGGGGGAUAACUACUGGAAACGGUAGCUAAUACCGCAUAACGUCGCAAGACCAAAGAGGGGGACCUUCGGGCCUCUUGCCAUCGGAUGUGCCCAGAUGGGAUUAGCUAGUAGGUGGGGUAACGGCUCACCUAGGCGACGAUCCCUAGCUGGUCUGAGAGGAUGACCAGCCACACUGGAACGGAGACACGGUCCAGACUCCUACGGGAGGCAGCAGUGGGGAAUAUUGCACAAUGGGCGCAAGCCUGAUGCAGCCAUGCCGCGUGUAUGAAGAAGGCCUUCGGGUUGUAAAGUACUUUCAGCGGGGAGGAAGGGAGUAAAGUUAAUACCUUUGCUCAUUGACGUUACCCGCAGAAGAAGCACCGGCUAACUCCGUG
Molecule: ribosomal RNA, 490 nt
Filed under: uncultured bacterium
Lineage: Bacteria
Description: partial 16S ribosomal RNA
Rfam family: Bacterial small subunit ribosomal RNA
Source: RNAcentral